Long non-coding RNA from Balaenoptera acutorostrata (minke whale), 926 nucleotides. RefSeq lists it as uncharacterized. The transcript is spliced from 3 exons. NCBI's taxonomy places the organism in Eukaryota, Metazoa, Chordata, Mammalia, Artiodactyla, Balaenopteridae. The record is from RefSeq and is a predicted model, not a curated record.
CACAGAGUUGCGGCCGCGUUGCUCCUGGCGCGUUCUUGGGGGAGCGGUGCAGGCGCCGAGGCUGCGGCUGGGAGUCCUCCGGCCGGUCCCUACCGGGUUGCGUGACGGGUCUGAAAAGGGGGUCUGCACGUUGCUAAGUAGUGUUUCUUGCAGUGGGCUCUCAGGAGUCCUCUGAUGGAGAGCUGACCUAGUCUGUGCUGCCAGACCGAAAGGAACCUUGAUCAGCAAUGCGCGCUUGAGGCGCAGCAGGUAGUGGCCCGGGGGAAUGAGAACCAGGAGGCCCCAGCGCCGACACAACGGUUUCCCAAAGUGGGCAACGGGAUCGCGGGGGCAUUCACGUGGUGUGCAUGGACGGUGUAUCAUGCCAUUUCAUCGAAUACAAAUGGUCAUCUGCUUUCAGAGUUUGGUUCCAGGUGCUGGGGAUACAGAAGUGAACACAACAGACAGGCAGGAUCUGUAUUGUCAUAGUGCUGACCUUUUAGGGUAAACCAACAAGACAGAAAUUGAUGAUCUGAAAUCCAUAAAACAAGGAUCAUUUAAAAAUCUAAGGACUUCCCUGAUGGUGCAGUGGUUAAGAAUCCGCCUGCCAAUGCAGGGGACACGGGUUUGAGCCCUAGUCCAGGAAGAUCCCACAUGCCGCGGAGCAGCUAAGCGCAUGCGCCACAACUACUGAGCCUGUGCUCUAGAGCCCACGAGCCACAACUACUGAAGCCCAUGUGCCACAACUACUGAAGCCCAUGUGCCACAACUACUGAAGCCCAUGUGCCACAACUACUGAAGCCCGUGUGCCUAGAGCCCGUGCUCCACAACAAGAAGCUACCGCAAUGAGAAGCCUGUGCACCACAACAAAGAGUAGCCCCCGCUCGUCGCAACUAAAGAAAGCCUGUGCGCAGCAAUGAAGACACAACGCAGCCCAAAAUAAACAA